GGUUAAGCGACUAAGCGUACACGGUGGAUGCCCUGGCAGUCAGAGGCGAUGAAGGACGUGCUAAUCUGCGAUAAGCGUCGGUAAGGUGAUAUGAACCGUUAUAACCGGCGAUUUCCGAAUGGGGAAACCCAGUGUGUUUCGACACACUAUCAUUAACUGAAUCCAUAGGUUAAUGAGGCGAACCGGGGGAACUGAAACAUCUAAGUACCCCGAGGAAAAGAAAUCAACCGAGAUUCCCCCAGUAGCGGCGAGCGAACGGGGAGCAGCCCAGAGCCUGAAUCAGUGUGUGUGUUAGUGGAAGCGUCUGGAAAGGCGCGCGAUACAGGGUGACAGCCCCGUACACAAAAAUGCAC
RNAcentral lists this ribosomal RNA (353 nucleotides) under Escherichia coli. Its description in RNAcentral is "partial 23S ribosomal RNA". It matches the Rfam family "Bacterial large subunit ribosomal RNA", at positions 1 to 390 of the family's 2925-position model. Lineage: Bacteria; Pseudomonadati; Pseudomonadota; Gammaproteobacteria; Enterobacterales; Enterobacteriaceae. The record is from RNAcentral.